UUUUAACGGCCGCGGUAUUCUAACCGUGCAAAGGUAGCGUAAUCACUUGUCCCCUAAAUAGAGACUAGUAUGAACGGCUAAAUGAGGACAAACCUGUCUCUUACGACCUAUCAGUGAAACUGAUCUCCCUGUCCAAAAGCAGGAAUACUAACAUAAGACGAGAAGACCCUGUGGAGCUUAAAACCCACUACUAACAAGCCAUAUGGCAUAACUAGUACCACUUUUAAGUUGGGGCGACUUCGGAACAAAACAGAACUUCCGAGCACAGAACCACCAAUUCUAACCAAGGCCAACAAGCCAAAGCAAAACCUGACCCAGUAAUACUGAUCAACGAACCAAGUUACCCCAGGGAUAACAGCGCUAUCUUCUUCAAGAGUCCAUAUCGACAAGAAGGUUUACGACCUCGAUGUUGGAUCAGGACACCCAAAUGGUGCAGCCGCUAUUAAAGGUUCGUUUGUUCAACGAUUAACAGUCCU
This 476-nucleotide ribosomal RNA is filed under the name Pinoyscincus mindanensis. RNAcentral's name for it is "partial 16S ribosomal RNA". It matches the Rfam family "Bacterial large subunit ribosomal RNA", at positions 1922 to 2597 of the family's 2925-position model. Lineage: Eukaryota; Metazoa; Chordata; Lepidosauria; Squamata; Scincidae. The record is from RNAcentral.